CUUUCUUUCCUUCUUCCUUUGGGGCAGAGCACGAAAUUAAGUGCAGAUUAUCAGCAGAUUAUAUUUUAAUAGCAUUUCAAGCUGUUGCCUUUCACGUCGCCAAAACCAGGACGACGAGGGACGCACGCCGCAACCCCACCUCAACCAAAAAAAGCAAAAAAAAAUUGUAGGACGUAAGAGUGAGUCGUGCAACAACAAUAAAAACAACAUUGUGCGUGGUAACAACAACAACAAACUACUGCCAAGGCAUGCGCCCGUGUAUCAUUGUGUAUCCUUGAGUGUGUGUGUGUUUGUGAAAGUGCGGCUUAUUACAUGAUUACCCCUAGAUUUUUCCGACGCUAAGUCUCAUGGCAUAUAUCUAGGCCCAGCCUAACGUACGUGCGCAACAAAAUUGAAAUUAAACCUAAAAUAAAGUGUCGUUCGGCCACAGAAUACGAGCGUAUUAUAUAUAUUACGUAUACGACCCGAGAGCAGCAACAGAGUCCACAAAGGGCAUAGUGUCGAACGGUUGUUCAACUCGGCUCUCAGUUUGACUCCGCUGGACUGAAGUGAACAGAACUGGACUGCUAAACUAUACAGG
Long non-coding RNA from Scaptodrosophila lebanonensis, 580 nucleotides. RefSeq lists it as uncharacterized. The record is from RefSeq and is a predicted model, not a curated record. The transcript has 3 exons. Lineage: Eukaryota; Metazoa; Arthropoda; Insecta; Diptera; Drosophilidae.